AGUAAGAUGGCUGAAAAAGCUGUAGAUUGUAAAUCUUCCCAUGGAAUUCUUCCUUUUACUG
This 61-nucleotide transfer RNA is filed under the name Portunion sinensis. RNAcentral describes it as "tRNA-Tyr". RNAcentral also lists the same sequence under 1 other name. Lineage: Eukaryota; Metazoa; Arthropoda; Malacostraca; Isopoda; Entoniscidae. The record is from RNAcentral.